This is a non-coding RNA of Tinamus guttatus (white-throated tinamou), 431 nucleotides long. The record is from the annotation of a RefSeq genome assembly. NCBI's taxonomy places the organism in Eukaryota, Metazoa, Chordata, Aves, Tinamiformes, Tinamidae.
GAGAGCGCUCCUUGUUUCUGCUGAGACGGCAACAAGCAGGAGCCCUCAGGAUGCUGCUGCUCCCGGUCCUGGUCCUGGCUUCAGCCUGGUCUUAUGCGGAGACACAAGUGCUUCUGAAACAGUCGAAAACAUCUGUUUCUAGCGGAAAGACCAAAACAGCCUAUAUUGACUGUACAGCUGAGGGCAUAAACGACUUCCAGAAUGCUUAUAUACACUGGUAUCGGCACAUUCCUCCCAAAAGUCCUGAAUGGCUUCUGUAUAUCAGAACGAGAAGAGAUAUUAGUUAUGAUCAGGUAUCCUAUGAGAGAAAGUAUUUUGCUAGUAAGAAAGAACGCAAUGUCUGUACUCUCUCAGUAAAAGACAUAAAGCCUAGUGAUGAAGGCACCUACUACUGCGCCUACUGGGAGUCUCACAGAAUUAGCAGACCAUAG